UACGAAGGGGGCAAGCGUUGUUCGGAAUUAUUGGGCGUAAAGGGAGCGUAGGCGGUUCGGCAAGUCUUUAGUGAAAUCUCUGGGCUCAACUCAGAGUCUGCUGGAGAAACUGCCGGGCUGGAGUAUGGGAGAGGUGAGUGGAAUUCCCGGUGUAGCGGUGAAAUGCGUAGAUAUCGGGGGGAACACCAGUGGCGAAGGCGAUCAUCUGGGGCUGACCUGACGCUGAGGAGCGAAAGCCAGGGGAGCAAACGGG
Molecule: ribosomal RNA, 253 nt
Filed under: uncultured prokaryote
Description: partial 16S ribosomal RNA
Rfam family: Bacterial small subunit ribosomal RNA
Source: RNAcentral